UGAGAUAUGGGCAGGGCAGUGAGAUGUGGGCUGGGCAGGGCAGUGAGAUAUGGGCUGGGCAGGGGAGUGAGAUGUGGGCAGGGCAGUGAGAUAUGGGCAGGGCAGUGAGAUAUGGGCAGGGGAGUGAGAUAUGGGCAGGGCAGUGAGAUAUGGGCAGGGCAGUGAGAUAUGGGCUGGGCAGGGCAGUGAGAUAUGGGCUGGGCAGGGCAGUGAGAUAUGGGCAGGGCAGUGAGAUGUGGGCUGGGCAGGGGAGUGAGAUAUGGGCUGGGCAGGGCAGUGAGAUAUGGGCAGGGGAGUGAGAUAUGGGCUGGGCGGGGCAGGGAGAUAUGGGCUGGGCAGGGGAGUGAAAUGUGGGCUGGGCAGGGCAGUGAGAUAUGGGCAGGCAGUGAGAUAUGGGCAGGGCAGUGAGAUAUGGGCUGGGCAGGGCAGUGAGAUAUGGGCAGGGCAGUGAGAUAUGGGCAGGGCAGUGAGAUAUGGGCUGGGCAGGGCAGUGCGAUAUGGGCAGGGCAGGGAGAUAUGGGCAGGGAGAUAUGGGCUGGGCAGGGCAGUGAGUUAUGGGCUGGGCAGGGCAGUGAGAUAUGGGCUGGGCAGGGCAGUGAGAUAUGGGCAGGGCAUUGAGAUAUGGGCAGGGGAGUGAGAUAUGGGCAGGGCAGUGAGAUAUGGGCAGGGGAGUGAGAUAUGGGCAGGGCAGUGAGAUAUGGGCAGGGGAGUGAGAUAUGGGCAGGGCAGUGAGAUAUGGGCAGGACAGUGAGAUAUGGGCAGGGAAGUGAGAUAUGGCCAGGGCAGUGAGAUAUGGGCAGGGGAGUGAGAUAUGGGCAGGGCAGUGAGAUAUGGGCUGGGCAGGGGAUGAAAAUGUGGGCUGGGCAGGGCAGUGAGAUAUGGGCAGGCAGUGAGAUAUGGGCAGGGGAGUGAGAUAUGGGCAGGGCAUGAGAUAUGGGCAGGGGAAUGUGGGCUGGGCAGGGCAGUGAGAUAUGGGCUGGGCAGGGGAGUGAGAUGUGGGCAGGGCAAUGAGAUAUGGGCAGGGCAGUGAGAUAUGGGC
This is a long non-coding RNA of Oncorhynchus tshawytscha (Chinook salmon), 1039 nucleotides long. Lineage: Eukaryota; Metazoa; Chordata; Actinopteri; Salmoniformes; Salmonidae. The record is from Ensembl.